CGGCAAGCCUGAACGAGCGAUGCCGCGUGAGCGAUGAAGGCCUUCGGGUUGUAAAGCUCAAAAGAAGCGAGAAAGGGAAACUUGAUCAAGCUUCAGUAAGCUCGGGCUAAGUUCGUGCCAGCAGCCGCGGUAAGACGAACCGAGCGAACGUUGUUCGGAAUCACUGGGCUUAAAGGGCGCGUAGGCGGAAUUGCAAGUCCGGGGUGAAAUCCCACAGCUCAACUGUGGAACUGCCUCGGAUACUGUGAGUCUCGAGGGUGGCAGGGGUAUGCGGAACUAUCGGUGGAGCGGUGAAAUGCGUUGAUAUCGAUAGGAACUCCGGUGGCGAAGGCGGCAUACUGGUCCACUUCUGACGCUGAGGCGCGAAAGCCAGGGGAGCAAACGGGAUUAGAUACCCCGGUAGUCCUGGCCCUAAACGAUGGGAACUAGCUAGUAGGCUUCACAUGGGUUUACUGGCGAAGCAAAAGUGCUAAGUUCCCCGCCUGGGGAGUAUGGUCGCAAGGCUG
This 506-nucleotide ribosomal RNA is filed under the name uncultured Planctomycetota bacterium. RNAcentral's name for it is "bacterial SSU rRNA". It matches the Rfam family "Bacterial small subunit ribosomal RNA", at positions 376 to 896 of the family's 1533-position model. Lineage: Bacteria; Pseudomonadati; Planctomycetota. The record is from RNAcentral.